AACCAACGCUGGCGGCAUGCCUAACACAUGCAAGUCGAACGAGACCUUCGGGUCUAGUGGCGCACGGGUGCGUAACGCGUGGGAACCUGCCCUUAGGUUCGGAAUAACUCCCCGAAAGGGGUGCUAAUACCGGAUAAUGUCUUCGGACCAAAGAUUUAUCGCCUUUGGAUGGGCCCGCGUUGGAUUAGCUAGUUGGUAGGGUAAAAGCCUACCAAGGCGACGAUCCAUAGCUGGUCUGAGAGGAUGAUCAGCCACACUGGGACUGAGACACGGCCCAGACUCCUCCGGGGGGCAGCGUUGGGAAAUAUUGGACAAGGGGCGAAAGCCUGAUCCCCCAAUCCCGGGUGAGGGUUGAUGGCUUUGGGGUUGAAAGGCUCUUUUACCCGGAUUAAUAUUGACGAUCCCGGAAGAAUACGCUCCGCCAACCCCCG
This 431-nucleotide ribosomal RNA is filed under the name uncultured bacterium. RNAcentral's name for it is "partial 16S ribosomal RNA". It matches the Rfam family "Bacterial small subunit ribosomal RNA", at positions 32 to 505 of the family's 1533-position model. The record is from RNAcentral.